UCAUCUCCGGGGGUAGAGCACUGUUUCGGCAAGGGGGUCAUCCCGACUUACCAACCCGAUGCAAACUGCGAAUACCGGAGAAUGUUAUCACGGGAGACACACGGCGGGUGCUAACGUCCGUCGUGAAGAGGGAAACAACCCAGACCGCCAGCUAAGGUCCCAAAGUCAUGGUUAAGUGGGAAACGAUGUGGGAAGGCCCAGACAGCCAGGAUGUUGGCUUAGAAGCAGCCAUCAUUUAAAGAAAGCGUAAUAGCUCACUGGUCGAGUCGGCCUGCGCGGAAGAUGUAACGGGGCUAAACCAUGCACCGAAGCUGCGGCAGCGACGCUGAUGCGUUGUUGGGUAGGGGAGCGUUCUGUAAGCCUGUGAAGGUGUGCUGUGAGGCAUGCUGGAGGUAUCAGAAGUGCGAAUGCUGACAUAAGUAACGAUAAAGCGGGUGAAAAGCCCGCUCGCCGGAAGACCAAGGGUUCCUGUCCAACGUUAAUCGGGGCAGGGUGAGUCGACCCCUAAGGCGAGGCCGAAAGGCGUAGUCGAUGGGAAACAGGUUAAUAUUCCUGUACUUGGUGUUACUGCGAAGGGGGGACGGAGAAGGCUAUGUUGGCCGGGCGACGGUUGUCCCGGUUUAAGCGUGUAGGCUGGUUUUCCAGGCAAAUCCGGAAAAUCAAGGCUGAGGCGUGAUGACGAGGCACUACGGUGCUGAAGCAACAAAUGCCCUGCUUCCAGGAAAAGCCUCUAAGCAUCAGGUAACAUCAAAUCGUACCCCAAACCGACACAGGUGGUCAGGUAGAGAAUACCAAGGCGCUUGAGAGAACUCGGGUGAAGGAACUAGGCAAAAUGGUGCCGUAACUUCGGGAGAAGGCACGCUGAUAUGUAGGUGAAGUCCCUCGCGGAUGGAGCUGAAAUCAGUCGAAGAUACCAGCUGGCUGCAACUGUUUAUUAAAAACACAGCACUGUGCAAACACGAAAGUGGACGUAUACGGUGUGACGCCUGCCCGGUGCCGGAAGGUUAAUUGAUGGGGUCAGCGCAAGCGAAGCUCUUGAUCGAAGCCCCGGUAAACGGCGGCCGUAACUAUAACGGUCCUAAGGUAGCGAAAUUCCUUGUCGGGUAAGUUCCGACCUGCACGAAUGGCGUAAUGAUGGCCAGGCUGUCUCCACCCGAGACUCAGUGAAAUUGAACUCGCUGUGAAGAUGCAGUGUACCCGCGGCAAGACGGAAAGACCCCGUGAACCUUUACUAUAGCUUGACACUGAACAUUGAGCCUUGAUGUGUAGGAUAGGUGGGAGGCUUAGAAGUGUGGACGCCAGUCUGCAUGGAGCCGACCUUGAAAUACCACCCUUUAAUGUUUGAUGUUCUAACGUUGACCCGUAAUCCGGGUUGCGGACAGUGU
RNAcentral lists this ribosomal RNA (1385 nucleotides) under Escherichia coli. RNAcentral's name for it is "bacterial LSU rRNA". It matches the Rfam family "Bacterial large subunit ribosomal RNA", at positions 890 to 2257 of the family's 2925-position model. Lineage: Bacteria; Pseudomonadati; Pseudomonadota; Gammaproteobacteria; Enterobacterales; Enterobacteriaceae. The record is from RNAcentral.